This 253-nucleotide ribosomal RNA is filed under the name uncultured bacterium. Its description in RNAcentral is "partial 16S ribosomal RNA". It matches the Rfam family "Bacterial small subunit ribosomal RNA", at positions 524 to 776 of the family's 1533-position model. The record is from RNAcentral.
UACGAAGGGGGCUAGCGUUGCUCGGAAUCACUGGGCGUAAAGCGCACGUAGGCGGAUUGUUAAGUCAGGGGUGAAAUCCUGGAGCUCAACUCCAGAACUGCCUUUGAUACUGGCGAUCUCGAGUCCGGGAGAGGUGAGUGGAACUGCGAGUGUAGAGGUGAAAUUCGUAGAUAUUCGCAAGAACACCAGUGGCGAAGGCGGCUCACUGGCCCGGUACUGACGCUGAGGUGCGGAAGCGUGGGGAGCAAACAGG